UGAGGAAUAUUGGUCAAUGGGCGGGAGCCUGAACCAGCCAAGCCGCGUGAGGGAAUAAGGCGCCAAGCGUCGUAAACCUCUUUUGUCAGGGAACAAAAGCGGGCACGCGUGCCCGUCCGAGUGUACCUGAGAAAAAGCAUCGGCUAACUCCGUGCC
This 156-nucleotide ribosomal RNA is filed under the name uncultured bacterium. RNAcentral's name for it is "partial 16S ribosomal RNA". It matches the Rfam family "Bacterial small subunit ribosomal RNA", at positions 355 to 509 of the family's 1533-position model. The record is from RNAcentral.